This 254-nucleotide ribosomal RNA is filed under the name uncultured bacterium. RNAcentral describes it as "partial 16S ribosomal RNA". It matches the Rfam family "Bacterial small subunit ribosomal RNA", at positions 524 to 776 of the family's 1533-position model. The record is from RNAcentral.
UACGGAGGGAGCGAGCGUUGCUCGGAAUCACUGGGCGUAAAGCGUACGCAGGCGGCUCGUUAAGUCGGGUGUGAAAGCCCGGGGCUCAACCCCGGAAUUGCGCCCGAUGCUGGCGAGCUUGAGUACGGGAGAGGGAUAGCGGAAUUCCUGGUGUAGAGGUGAAAUUCGUAGAUAUCAGGAGGAACACCAGUGGCGAAAGCGGCUUCCUGGCCCGAUACUGACGCCCAUGUACGAAAGCGUGGGGAGCAAACAGG